RNAcentral lists this ribosomal RNA (253 nucleotides) under uncultured bacterium. RNAcentral's name for it is "partial 16S ribosomal RNA". It matches the Rfam family "Bacterial small subunit ribosomal RNA", at positions 524 to 776 of the family's 1533-position model. The record is from RNAcentral.
UACGAGGGGGGCAAGCGUUGUUCGGAAUCAUUGGGCGUAAAGGGUGCGUAGGCGGCUUUUUAAGUCUGACGUGAAAGCCCAGGGCUUAGCCUUGGAAGUGCGCCAGAAACUGGAAGGCUAGAGUGCCGGAGGGGAGAGUGGAAUUCCUGGUGUAGCGGUGAAAUGCGUAGAUAUCAGGAGGAAUACCGGUGGCGAAAGCGACUCUCUGGACGGUAACUGACGCUGAGGCACGAAAGCGUGGGGAGCAAACAGG